Aquila chrysaetos chrysaetos is the source of this 705-nucleotide long non-coding RNA. RefSeq lists it as uncharacterized. The record is from RefSeq and is a predicted model, not a curated record. The transcript is spliced from 2 exons. Lineage: Eukaryota; Metazoa; Chordata; Aves; Accipitriformes; Accipitridae.
CAGACUCUGAAGCAGAGCCCUCUAGUUUGUCCCACCGCUUGCAGCUUAUGUCUUUUGAAAGAGGUGUGAGGGAUUCACUGUCCUUUAGAGAUAACACAUAUUGUUCUUCAGCAUGAAGAAAGAACAUCACUGUGUAUCAGAACCACUCCUGCUAGAACAUGAAGUUUACACAGAAGAGAUAGAAAAAAAGAAGUCAACAUAUGCAUUCACACAUAGGCAACUGCCUUUACCAGAACUCCUUUCUUGUUCACAUCCACCUCACUUGAAGCAAAGCCUUCAAACACUUCUGUUUCAGAGUCAGUGUCUUCAGUGAAAAUCCUCCGCAGUUCUUCAGUGAGGUAUCUGGACUGAAACUGAACCCCCUGUAAAAAUAUCAGCCAGCAGCUGUGAGAGAUAGUCAGAUACAGAGUAGUCACACAGUCACAAUAAACAGGUCCUGAGGCUCAAGCAGGUACCAACUAGAUGGCAUAUACUGUGAAAGCACUUUGCAGGCAAAGGCAGUCAGAAGAAAAAAAGCAGAAGACAUUCAGAGUUUCAGCACUGAGUUAUUUUAACUUAGCAGGAUUUUUUUGCCUUAUUUUGAGCACAGGGCUUUAACUGAGCUGCUUCUUGAGGGGGGCGGGGAAACUUCUUCUUUGCCUCUUCCUCCUCUUCUUCACUACUACCCAAUAAAAAUAAAUUAUCAGUUUUCUUAUGUGUAAAUUA